ACGAACGCUGGCUCCAUGCUUAACACAUGCAAGUCGAACGCUUACCGGGUUUCAGCCCGGUGGGAGUGUCGCACGGGUGAGUAGCGCGUGGGAACCUGCCCUGAAGUGGGGGAUAACCGCGGGAAACUGCGGCUAAUACCGCAUACGCCGGGUCUCUUGAGAGAGAGGUCCGGGAAAGAUUUAUCGCUUUACGAGGGGCCCGCGUCGGAUUAGCUGGUUGGUGGGGUAACAGCCUACCAAGGCACCGAUCCGUAGCUGGUCUGAGAGGAUGAUCAUCCACACUGGGACUGAGACACGGCCCACACUCCUACGGGAGGCAGCAGUGGG
This 327-nucleotide ribosomal RNA is filed under the name uncultured Alphaproteobacteria bacterium. Its description in RNAcentral is "bacterial SSU rRNA". It matches the Rfam family "Bacterial small subunit ribosomal RNA", at positions 29 to 358 of the family's 1533-position model. Lineage: Bacteria; Pseudomonadati; Pseudomonadota; Alphaproteobacteria. The record is from RNAcentral.